RNAcentral lists this ribosomal RNA (985 nucleotides) under Staphylocystis sp. IHM-2017. RNAcentral describes it as "LSU rRNA". It matches the Rfam family "Eukaryotic large subunit ribosomal RNA", at positions 104 to 631 of the family's 3401-position model. The record is from RNAcentral. Lineage: Eukaryota; Metazoa; Platyhelminthes; Cestoda; Cyclophyllidea; Hymenolepididae.
AGAGCCCAGCACCGAAGCCUGCGGCAGCUUUGCUGUUAGGCAAUGUGGUGUGUGGGUCGGCUCGCGGGACCAUCACUCCACUCGAAGUCCAGCAUUGAGUAUGGCAUCACUGGAUUUGGCCCAUAGAGGGUGAGAGGCCCGUACGGGUGGAGGUUCAGACAUGUGCGAUGGUUCACCAGGCCGGCCUCAGAGUCGGGUUGUUUGAGAUUGCAGCCCAAAGAGGGUGGUAAACUCCAUCCAAGGCUAAAUACUGCCACGAGUCCGAUAGCGAACAAGUACCAUGAGGGAAAGUUGAAAAGUACUCUGAAGAGAGAGUAAACAGUACGUGAAGCCGCAUGCAGGUAAACGGGUGGCGUCAAGCUGCGAGCCCGGAGGAUUCAGCUGACUGGGAUGUAGUGUGCGCGCGCCUGGUGCGUCGAGAGGCCGGAGUAAGAUGUGGCGGUCCACUUCUCUGUCGGGAGUGGGGUGCAAUCGGUUCUGCCGGUUGUCGCUAUGCAUGCCGGGUGGGUGCCGGAGCAUGCCGCUCGUCUGUUGGGCCACCUAGUCAGUGCAUUUUCUCCGUGGUGAACACCACGACCGGUGGAACUGCCAGUCUGCUGUGAGCAAGUCGUGUCCUCCUGAUGCGUUUCUGUGUUGGGUGGGCGCGAUCGCAGGCGGAAUGGGUGAACGGCGCAGUGGUGCCUCGGUACUGCCGCGUGUUAUCGUGCACUCUCCGUCGUAAGCGGUUAGUGGGCUUGUGCUGUGACUACUUGCCCGCUAGCCGGCGGCCCGCAGUGGUGAAAGUGACUGUGCAGGGCACCGGAGUUGUCCACCUCAUUCAAUAUGGUAUCCGGCACGCACGUUACAGGUGCUGAGGAAUCGGGGUGCGCCGCUGUCUGCCUGGUGUUGGGCCUGACUGUCGUGUUGCCUGCGCAAAGUGGGUCCGGCGGUGGUUUCAACGCUUGGUAUUGGCAGUGUGUUGCGCGUCUCGGGUGUCUGUGGUACC